ACAGGUUCGAGGAAAGUCCGUGCACCAUAGAGCAGGAUACCGGAUAACGUCCGGUGGAGGUGACUCUAAGGCCAGUGCAACAGAAAUAGACCGCCCGCAAGGGUAAGGGUGGAAAGGUGAGGUAAGAGCUCACCAGCAGGCUGGGGACAGUCUGGCUCUGUAAACCCUAUCCGGUGCAAGAUCAAACGUCCAAUGGGCUGCUCGUCCGGACAAAGGAUCGCUGGAGCCCGGUGGUGACGCCGGGCCAAGACAGAUGAUAGUCGAAAACAGAACACGGCUUACCGGCUUGCUUC
Molecule: RNase P RNA, 293 nt
Filed under: Kallipyga gabonensis
Lineage: Bacteria; Bacillati; Bacillota; Tissierellia
Description: Bacterial RNase P class A
Rfam family: Bacterial RNase P class A
About the family: Ribonuclease P (RNase P) is a ubiquitous endoribonuclease, found in archaea, bacteria and eukarya as well as chloroplasts and mitochondria. Its best characterised activity is the generation of mature 5'-ends of tRNAs by cleaving the 5'-leader elements of precursor-tRNAs.
Source: RNAcentral